UACGUAGGGGGCAAGCGUUGUCCGGAUUUAUUGGGCGUAAAGAGCGUGUAGGCGGCCAGGUAGGUCCGUUGUGAAAACUCGAGGCUCAACCUUCAGAGGUCGACCGAAACCAUCUGGCUAGAGUCCGGGAGAGGAGAGUGGAAUUCCUGGUGUAGCGGUGAAAUGCGCAGAUAUCAGGAAGAACACCCGUGGCGAAAGCGGCUCUCUGGAACGGUACUGACGCUGAGACGCGAAAGCGUGGGGAGCAAACAGG
RNAcentral lists this ribosomal RNA (253 nucleotides) under uncultured bacterium. RNAcentral's name for it is "partial 16S ribosomal RNA". It matches the Rfam family "Bacterial small subunit ribosomal RNA", at positions 524 to 776 of the family's 1533-position model. The record is from RNAcentral.